RNAcentral lists this ribosomal RNA (581 nucleotides) under uncultured bacterium. RNAcentral describes it as "partial 16S ribosomal RNA". It matches the Rfam family "Bacterial small subunit ribosomal RNA", at positions 355 to 1376 of the family's 1533-position model. The record is from RNAcentral.
UGAGGAAUAUUGGUCAAUGGGCGAGAGCCUGAACCAGCCAAGUCGCGUGAAGGAAGACUGCCUUAUGGGUUGUAAACUUCUUUUAUACAGGAAUAAAAAGGCUUACGUGUAGGCCAUUGCAAGUACUGUAUGAAUAAGCAUCGGCUAACUCCGUGCCAGCAGCCGCGGUAAUACGGAGGAUGCGAGCGUUAUCCGGAUUUAUUGGGUUUAAAGGGUGCGCAGGCGGGCUUUUAAGUCAGCGGUGAAAUCUGGACGCUUAACGUCCAAACUGCCGUUGAAACUGGGAGUCUUGAGUAUGGAUGAAGUAGGCGGAAUUCGUUGUGUAGCGGUGACAUGCAUAGAUAUAACGAGGAACUCCGAUUGCGCAGGCAGCUUACUAAGCCAUAACUGACGCUCAUGCACGAAAGCGUGGGGAUCAAACAGGAUUAGAUACCCUGGUAGUCCACGCCGUAAAACGAUGAUUACUAGUUGUAUGCGAUAUGAUAGUAUGUGACUAAGCGAAAGCGAUAAGUAAUCCACCUGGGGAGUACGCCGGCAACGGUGAAACUCAAAGGAAUUGACGGGGUCAUAGCUGUUUCCUG